RNAcentral lists this ribosomal RNA (957 nucleotides) under Salmonella enterica subsp. enterica serovar Choleraesuis. RNAcentral's name for it is "bacterial SSU rRNA". It matches the Rfam family "Bacterial small subunit ribosomal RNA", at positions 210 to 1160 of the family's 1533-position model. Lineage: Bacteria; Pseudomonadati; Pseudomonadota; Gammaproteobacteria; Enterobacterales; Enterobacteriaceae. The record is from RNAcentral.
GCCUCUUGCCAUCAGAUGUGCCCAGAUGGGAUUAGCUUGUUGGUGAGGUAACGGCUCACCAAGGCGACGAUCCCUAGCUGGUCUGAGAGGAUGACCAGCCACACUGGAACUGAGACACGGUCCAGACUCCUACGGGAGGCAGCAGUGGGGAAUAUUGCACAAUGGGCGCAAGCCUGAUGCAGCCAUGCCGCGUGUAUGAAGAAGGCCUUCGGGUUGUAAAGUACUUUCAGCGGGGAGGAAGGUGUUGUGGUUAAUAACCGCAGCAAUUGACGUUACCCGCAGAAGAAGCACCGGCUAACUCCGUGCCAGCAGCCGCGGUAAUACGGAGGGUGCAAGCGUUAAUCGGAAUUACUGGGCGUAAAGCGCACGCAGGCGGUCUGUCAAGUCGGAUGUGAAAUCCCCGGGCUCAACCUGGGAACUGCAUUCGAAACUGGCAGGCUUGAGUCUUGUAGAGGGGGGUAGAAUUCCAGGUGUAGCGGUGAAAUGCGUAGAGAUCUGGAGGAAUACCGGUGGCGAAGGCGGCCCCCUGGACAAAGACUGACGCUCAGGUGCGAAAGCGUGGGGAGCAAACAGGAUUAGAUACCCUGGUAGUCCACGCCGUAAACGAUGUCUACUUGGAGGUUGUGCCCUUGAGGCGUGGCUUCCGGAGCUAACGCGUUAAGUAGACCGCCUGGGGAGUACGGCCGCAAGGUUAAAACUCAAAUGAAUUGACGGGGGCCCGCACAAGCGGUGGAGCAUGUGGUUUAAUUCGAUGCAACGCGAAGAACCUUACCUGGUCUUGACAUCCACGGAAGUUUUCAGAGAUGAGAAUGUGCCUUCGGGAACCGUGAGACAGGUGCUGCAUGGCUGUCGUCAGCUCGUGUUGUGAAAUGUUGGGUUAAGUCCCGCAACGAGCGCAACCCUUAUCCUUUGUUGCCAGCGAUUAGGUCGGGAACUCAAAGGAGACUGCCAGUGAUA